Molecule: ribosomal RNA, 247 nt
Filed under: uncultured bacterium
Lineage: Bacteria
Description: partial 16S ribosomal RNA
Rfam family: Bacterial small subunit ribosomal RNA
Source: RNAcentral
AUACGUAGGGGGCAAGCGUUGUCCGGAUUUACUGGGUGUAAAGCGUGCGCAGGCGGUUGUGUAAGUCAGAUGUGAAAUCCCCGGGCUCAACCUGGGAACCGCAUUUGAGACUGCACGGCUAGAGUGUGACAGAGGGGGGUAGAAUUCCACGUGUAGCAGUGAAAUGCGUAGAGAUGUGGAGGAAUACCGAUGGCGAAGGCAGCCCCCUGGGUUACUACUGACGCUCAUGCACGAAAGCGUGGGGAGC